RNAcentral lists this ribosomal RNA (253 nucleotides) under uncultured bacterium. Its description in RNAcentral is "partial 16S ribosomal RNA". It matches the Rfam family "Bacterial small subunit ribosomal RNA", at positions 524 to 776 of the family's 1533-position model. The record is from RNAcentral.
UACGAAGGGGGCUAGCGUUGUUCGGAAUUACUGGGCGUAAAGGGCGUGUAGGCGGUCCGCUAAGUCAGGUGUGAAAGGCCUGGGCUCAACCCAGGAAAUGCGCCUGAGACUGACGGACUUGAGUCCGGGAGAGGAUGGUGGAACUCCCCGUGUAGAGGUGAAAUGCGUAGAUAUUGGGAAGAACACCCGUGGCGAAGGCGGCCAUCUGGACGGUGACUGACGCUGAGACGCGAAAGCGUGGGGAGCAAACAGG